This 536-nucleotide long non-coding RNA is filed under the name Oryza brachyantha (malo sina). RNAcentral's name for it is "long non-coding RNA (OBRA_LNC000596)". The record is from RNAcentral. Lineage: Eukaryota; Viridiplantae; Streptophyta; Magnoliopsida; Poales; Poaceae.
UCAAGUCUUCAGAGCUAGGAUGGAACUGAUAUUCUUCUUUCUGCAUAUCAAAUGUAGCCUUUGAUCGAUGGCAUCGCCUGCAGCACCAGCGGAGUUCACUCAGGAAGCUACUCGUCAGUCUCUCAUUGAGAUCUCCCAGUCCCUCCCGGAGAAACCUUCACCCCAGAAUCUGGAGGUGAAAUCACCGAGGUCGCGUGCAGCAAACGAGAAUCAUGAAGAUGGAGCAGAUAACUACAGAUCAAAGCUAAUCUCGAUCUCGUACCUGUCUCCUGAUGCUCAACCGACACCGUGCCCUCCCAAGAAUGUUGUCACUUAAUUAAUUGUGAUGUUCGUACCCCUGCAUAUGUGGACAUAAUAUCAGUGUUUUACUUCACUCGACCUUUUAGCUGGAAAGAUGGAAAUGCAAUACUUUGGGUGCUUGUGUUUUUCUACCUUGUAGCACGUUUCAACUCGAAAAAGCAUUAGGGAAAACAGAAGAUAGUUGUACAGAUAACUUUUAUGACAAGUAACUAAUUACCAGAAACAAACUUUGCUUA